This is a long non-coding RNA of Prionailurus viverrinus (fishing cat), 995 nucleotides long. RefSeq lists it as uncharacterized. NCBI's taxonomy places the organism in Eukaryota, Metazoa, Chordata, Mammalia, Carnivora, Felidae. The record is from RefSeq and is a predicted model, not a curated record. The transcript is spliced from 3 exons.
GACUGCCUCCGCGUUGGCUGGGCGCCAAGGGCUCGUCAAUCUGGGGGCGGAAGACGCAGGAGGGGCGCUGUGACCAGCACUUUGUGCGUCUGGGGUUGCUGCGGGGAGAAGGCAGAAGAAAGGUAAGAUACUUGAGAGAACAUUUGAAGAAAAGUCAUUUUACACUUGCAAGAUAUUGACUAUGGAAUCAUGAAAACAUGAUGGCAAAGCCAUGUGGAACUUUGCCUCCGAGAGGUUAAGUGACUGGCCUUACAUUGUAGCCAACUGAGGACCUAGAAAUAACUCUGGCUCAUAAUUUUUCAUCAAAUGCCUUUUGGAAUUGUAACUAACUAGUUGCUCUGGUAGGUAAGUAUGCUGUCAGAUCCGUGAUUGCUGUUGUUUCCAAUGAUUAAAUUUUAACCAUUCUAACUAGGAAUUUUCUGGCAAUAAAAAAUGUCCACCUUAAGAGAUCCCCGGCCUUUAGUACUUCAUUUUUGGUCCACGAGGUGGCGACGUUCUACAACAAAUGAUGUUUUCAGCUGUUUUGUUUGUUUUUUGUUUUUUGUUUUUUUCUUAAUAGCUCAAGGCUGGAAUGUGUAGUUUUUACAUCUUUCCAAUCCUAUUUGAUAAUUUUUCAUACAAUUUUCUCUUACCUUUUGGCAUCAUGGAAAAUAUCUUUUAAAUAUUGUAACUUAAAUGUAUUUACAUCUUUAAAAUAAUAAUAAAAUGCCUUUUUAUUUUUAAUCAAUGGCUUUUAAUGGCUUUUUAAUCAAUGUAGCUCUAUUAGCUUAAACCAAAAACCAGUGAGCCUUUAAAAAAAGAAACCUACUUCUGAGAAGAUAAUACCAUAGGUCACUUUCAUUCGUCACAUUUGAGGACUUUUUUCAGUUCAAAUGAAAAGAGCGUAGACAUUGCAAUUUACUAAAAUAAAAAUUCAUUUAUUCAUUAAGCAAAAGUUAAGUGCCUAAGUCUGGUCAGUAUACGUUAAUACUUGACUAUCAAUACUAAAGUUGAAU